CAGUCGCCGCGGUAAUACGUAGGUGGCAAGCGUUGUCCGGAAUGAUUGGGCGUAAAGCGCGCGCAGGCGGCCUAUCCAGUCUGUCUUAAAAGUUCGGGGCUCAACCCCGUGAUGGGAUGGAAACUAGUAGGCUAGAGUAUCGGAGAGGAAAGCGGAAUUCCUAGUGUAGCGGUGAAAUGCGUAGAUAUUAGGAAGAACACCAGUGGCGAAGGCGGCUUUCUGGACGAAAACUGACGCUGAGGCGCGAAAGCCAGGGGAGCGAACGGGAUUAGAGACCCCAGUAGUCCCUGUCUCUUAUACC
Molecule: ribosomal RNA, 301 nt
Filed under: uncultured bacterium
Lineage: Bacteria
Description: partial 16S ribosomal RNA
Rfam family: Bacterial small subunit ribosomal RNA
Source: RNAcentral